Long non-coding RNA from Mesocricetus auratus (golden hamster), 532 nucleotides. RefSeq lists it as uncharacterized. The record is from RefSeq and is a predicted model, not a curated record. NCBI's taxonomy places the organism in Eukaryota, Metazoa, Chordata, Mammalia, Rodentia, Cricetidae. The transcript has 2 exons.
UCAGCUACUGCUCCAGUGCCAAGCCUGCCUGCAGCAAUGCUCCCACCAUGAUGAUCACGGACUCACCCUCGGAAAUGGAAGCCCCAGUAAACUUCCUUUCUGAACCCUUGUGGAAGAAGACGGCAGAAAGAACAUAGGAGUUGAAGGAAGGGAGCAGUUUGGAGAUGCUGUACAGGAUGAUCCUCUGAGCCAAACCACCAUCAUCUCCAGGAGUUCUGCUGGCCAACUUGGCAAUGAUCAUCGCAGCUGAACCUCAUAGAAGGAGUGGGCAGGGAGGGCACCUCCCCUGCUUCUCCCAACCCAUCUGUGCAAUUCUGCCCUAAUUGCAUGUGGUCUUUUGGGAAAAGCUAGAGGCUAGAGUUGGGGGAAAGGUAGGAGGGAUUCCAUCUAUGCAACCAUAGGGAAGCCAUCAUCCCUGCUGGGUACUGACUUUCCAGUGUGGCUACUUUAAGGUCAUCUGUGUUCCUGUCCAUAAUCCAUCACCAUUUCUCUGUAAGUAAGCCCAAUAAACUCAUUGGUUUCCCUGGGUGAA